This 890-nucleotide ribosomal RNA is filed under the name Weissella confusa. RNAcentral describes it as "bacterial SSU rRNA". It matches the Rfam family "Bacterial small subunit ribosomal RNA", at positions 62 to 905 of the family's 1533-position model. Lineage: Bacteria; Bacillati; Bacillota; Bacilli; Lactobacillales; Lactobacillaceae. The record is from RNAcentral.
UCGAACGCUUUGUGGUUCAACUGAUUUGAAGAGCUUGCUCAGAUAUGACGAUGGACAUUGCAAAGAGUGGCGAACGGGUGAGUAACACGUGGGAAACCUACCUCUUAGCAGGGGAUAACAUUUGGAAACAGAUGCUAAUACCGUAUAACAAUGACAACCGCAUGGUUGUUAUUUAAAAGAUGGUUCUGCUAUCACUAAGAGAUGGUCCCGCGGUGCAUUAGCUAGUUGGUAAGGUAAUGGCUUACCAAGGCGAUGAUGCAUAGCCGAGUUGAGAGACUGAUCGGCCACAAUGGGACUGAGACACGGCCCAUACUCCUACGGGAGGCAGCAGUAGGGAAUCUUCCACAAUGGGCGAAAGCCUGAUGGAGCAACGCCGCGUGUGUGAUGAAGGGUUUCGGCUCGUAAAACACUGUUGUAAGAGAAGAAUGACAUUGAGAGUAACUGUUCAAUGUGUGACGGUAUCUUACCAGAAAGGAACGGCUAAAUACGUGCCAGCAGCCGCGGUAAUACGUAUGUUCCAAGCGUUAUCCGGAUUUAUUGGGCGUAAAGCGAGCGCAGACGGUUAUUUAAGUCUGAAGUGAAAGCCCUCAGCUCAACUGAGGAAUUGCUUUGGAAACUGGAUGACUUGAGUGCAGUAGAGGAAAGUGGAACUCCAUGUGUAGCGGUGAAAUGCGUAGAUAUAUGGAAGAACACCAGUGGCGAAGGCGGCUUUCUGGACUGUAACUGACGUUGAGGCUCGAAAGUGUGGGUAGCAAACAGGAUUAGAUACCCUGGUAGUCCACACCGUAAACGAUGAGUGCUAGGUGUUUGAGGGUUUCCGCCCUUAAGUGCCGCAGCUAACGCAUUAAGCACUCCGCCUGGGGAGUACGACCGCAAGGUUGAAACUCAAA